UUUGAUCCUGGCUCAGGAUGAACGCUGGCGGCGUGCCUAACACAUGCAAGUCGAGCGAAGUUUAUGGAAUGAAGCCUUCGGGUGGAAUGAAAUAAACUUAGCGGCGGACGGGUGAGUAACGCGUGGGCAACCUACCUUGUACAGGGGGAUAACAGUCGGAAACGAUUGCUAAUACCGCAUAAUACUACUUUGAGGCAUCUUAGAGUAGUCAAAGAUUUAUUGGUACAAGAUGGGCCCGCGUCUGAUUAGCUAGUUGGUGGGGUAAUGGCCUACCAAGGCGACGAUCAGUAGCCGACCUGAGAGGGUGACCGGCCACACUGGAACUGAGACACGGUCCAGACUCCUACGGGAGGCAGCAGUGGGGAAUAUUGCACAAUGGGGGAAACCCUGAUGCAGCGACGCCGCGUGAGCGAUGAAGGCCUUCGGGUCGUAAAGCUCUGUUCCGAGGGAAGAUAAUGACGGUACCUCGGAAGAAAGCCCCGGCUAACUACGUGCCAGCAGCCGCGGUAAUACGUAGGGGGCAAGCGUUAUCCGGAAUCACUGGGCGUAAAGGGUGCGUAGGCGGCCAAUAAAGUCAGAGGUGAAAGGCUACGGCUCAACCGUAGUAAGCCUUUGAAACUGUUUGGCUUGAGUGCAGGAGAGGAGAGUGGAAUUCCUAGUGUAGCGGUGAAAUGCGUAGAUAUUAGGAGGAACACCAGUGGCGAANGCGACUCUCUGGACUGUAACUGACGCUGAGGCACGAAAGCGUGGGGAGCAAACAGGAUUAGAUACCCUGGUAGUCCACGCCGUAAACGAUGAGUGCUAGGUGUUGGANGGAGACCUUCAGUGNCGACGCUAACGCAUUAAGCACUCCGCCUGGGGAGUACGCUCGCAAGANUGAAACUCNAAGGAAUUGACGGGGACCCGCACAAGCAGCGGAGCNNGUGGUU
RNAcentral lists this ribosomal RNA (929 nucleotides) under uncultured bacterium. RNAcentral's name for it is "bacterial SSU rRNA". It matches the Rfam family "Bacterial small subunit ribosomal RNA", at positions 12 to 946 of the family's 1533-position model. The record is from RNAcentral.